AUUACACUUGAGAGAUAGAAGAGAGGUGAGUCGAGAGAAGAGAAGAGAGAGAAGUUAAAACUUUCAUAUAUUGUAUCUUUCUGAAUGAAUACAAUCUUAUCUCAUCUAAGACUAUAUAUUCCUCUUUAUAAAACUUGCUGUCUAAGUCACACUAUAAUAACUCUAACAACCUUGCUAAUCUCUUGACAAGUGGCUUAUUAUAUCACCAUUAAUACUAUCCUUAAUACUAUCCUUAACAAAAACCACUUUCUGGGCAGUUUUGAGUACCUAACACUGGUUUGGACGAAUUUGGACUAUGACUUGACUCAAAACACUUAAAAACACAACUAAAUGGAUUUCUAACUAAUCUAACACUUUAAAAUAAAUGGGGGUGAUUUUGACGAAAUUAAAACUUUAAAA
This 399-nucleotide long non-coding RNA is filed under the name Malus domestica (apple). RNAcentral describes it as "long non-coding RNA (MDOM_LNC020809)". Lineage: Eukaryota; Viridiplantae; Streptophyta; Magnoliopsida; Rosales; Rosaceae. The record is from RNAcentral.